Molecule: ribosomal RNA, 412 nt
Filed under: uncultured bacterium
Lineage: Bacteria
Description: bacterial SSU rRNA
Rfam family: Bacterial small subunit ribosomal RNA
Source: RNAcentral
GUGCCAGCAGCCGCGGUAAUACGGAGGGUGCGAGCGUUAAUCGGAAUUACUGGGCGUAAAGGGUGCGUAGGCGGUUGAAUCAGUCGGAUGUGAAAGCCCCGGGCUUAACCUGGGAAUUGCAUUCGAUACUGUUCGGCUAGAGUACGAUAGAGGGUGGUGGAACUCCAGGUGUAGCGGUGAAAUGCGUAGAUGUCUGGAAGAACACCAGUGGCGAAGGCGGCCACCUGGAUCGUAACUGACGCUGAGGCACGAAAGCGUGGGGAGCAAACAGGAUUAGAUACCCUGGUAGUCCACGCCCUAAACGAUGAGAACUAGCCGCUGGGAGGAUUAACCUUUCAGUGGCGUAGCUAACGCGUUAAGUUCUCCGCCUGGGGAGUGCGGCCGCAAGGUUGAAACUCAAAUGAAUUGACGG